GGCCUACGGGGGGCAGCAGUGGGGAAUAUUGGACAAUGGGGGGAACCCUGAUCCAGCGACGCCGCGUGAGUGAAGAAGUAUUUCGGUAUGUAAAGCUCUAUCAGCAGGGAAGAAAGAAAUGACGGUACCUGACUAAGACGCCCCGGCUAACUACGUGCCAGCAGCCGCGGUAAUACGUAGGGGGCAAGCGUUAUCCGGAUUUACUGGGUGUAAAGGGAGCGUAGUCGGCGAAGAAAGUCUGAAGUGAAAGCCCGCGGCUCAACCGCGGAAUGGCUUUGGAAACUUUUUUGCUGGAGUACCGGCGA
RNAcentral lists this ribosomal RNA (305 nucleotides) under uncultured bacterium. Its description in RNAcentral is "partial 16S ribosomal RNA". It matches the Rfam family "Bacterial small subunit ribosomal RNA", at positions 335 to 655 of the family's 1533-position model. The record is from RNAcentral.